GGGGAAGUGGCGGAACGGUAGACGCGCUGGCUUCAGGAGCCAGUGUCCGGAAGGGUGUGGGGGUUCGAAUCCCCCCUUCCCCACCA
RNAcentral lists this transfer RNA (86 nucleotides) under Synergistaceae bacterium. RNAcentral's name for it is "tRNA-Leu". It matches the Rfam family "tRNA". From Rfam's summary of the family: Transfer RNA (tRNA) molecules are approximately 80 nucleotides in length. Their secondary structure includes four short double-helical elements and three loops (D, anti-codon, and T loops). Further hydrogen bonds mediate the characteristic L-shaped molecular structure. tRNAs have two regions of fundamental functional importance: the anti-codon, which is responsible for specific mRNA codon recognition, and the 3' end, to which the tRNAs corresponding amino acid is attached (by aminoacyl-tRNA synthetases). tRNAs cope with the degeneracy of the genetic code in two manners: having more than one tRNA (with a specific anti-codon) for a particular amino acid; and 'wobble' base-pairing, i.e. permitting non-standard base-pairing at the 3rd anti-codon position. The record is from RNAcentral. RNAcentral also lists the same sequence under 3 other names. Lineage: Bacteria; Thermotogati; Synergistota; Synergistia; Synergistales; Synergistaceae.